This 218-nucleotide RNase P RNA is filed under the name Microcaldota archaeon. RNAcentral describes it as "Candidatus Micrarchaeota archaeon (hot springs metagenome) RNase P RNA component". It matches the Rfam family "Archaeal RNase P". From Rfam's summary of the family: Ribonuclease P (RNase P) is a ubiquitous endoribonuclease, found in archaea, bacteria and eukarya as well as chloroplasts and mitochondria. Its best characterised activity is the generation of mature 5'-ends of tRNAs by cleaving the 5'-leader elements of precursor-tRNAs. Cellular RNase Ps are ribonucleoproteins. The record is from RNAcentral. Lineage: Archaea; Nanobdellati; Microcaldota.
AAUGGCUCCUGGGUCACUCUCGCUUCAAAAAAGAAGUGAGGAAGCUCUGCCCACCCUUCAUAAGUUGCAAAGGCUUAAGGCCUGUGCAUUUUGAACAGAAACGACACCUGCUGUUUUAGCAGGAUGAAACGGCAAAAUGCACGCAACUGGGUGCAAAGGCAUUUUGCCUGCUAAGUCAAAUGUGACCUAAAACAGAAGGCAGACUACAAGGAGCCAUU